Molecule: unclassified non-coding RNA, 186 nt
Filed under: uncultured Basidiomycota
Lineage: Eukaryota; Fungi; Basidiomycota
Description: sequence contains ITS1
Source: RNAcentral
AUGAAUUGUUUCAGAGGGUUGAUGCUGGUAGUCUUUUUCUGGCUGCAUGUGCUCGCUUUCGACAAUCCUUAUCCAUACACCUGUGCACCUCUUGAGGAUUUUCUGUGAAUGCAGAUCAUUCUCUUUACCACAAAACCCCUUCAUAAUCUUGAAUGUAAUAUGUGCCAUUGAGGCCUUAUAAUAAUA